RNAcentral lists this ribosomal RNA (279 nucleotides) under uncultured bacterium. Its description in RNAcentral is "partial 16S ribosomal RNA". It matches the Rfam family "Bacterial small subunit ribosomal RNA", at positions 44 to 334 of the family's 1533-position model. The record is from RNAcentral.
GUGCUUAACACAUGCAAGUCGAGUGCGCGUGCCGUAGCAAUACGGCAUGGCGCACGGCGCACGGGUGCGUAACACGUGGGUACCUGCCCUUUGGUGGGGAAUAACUCCGCGAAAGCGGAGCUAAUUCCGCAUAAGAUCCGCAAGGAUGAAAGCCGCAAGGCGCCGAUGGAGGGGCCCGCGCCCGAUUAGCUAGUUGGUAGGGUAACGGCCUACCAAGGCUUUGAUCGGUAGCUGGUCUGAGAGGAUGGCCAGCCACACUGGAACUGAGACACGGUCCAG